Non-coding RNA from Callithrix jacchus (white-tufted-ear marmoset), 148 nucleotides. The record is from Rfam. Lineage: Eukaryota; Metazoa; Chordata; Mammalia; Primates; Cebidae.
GCUGGGCAUGGUAGUGCAUGCCUGUAAUCCCAGCUACCCGGGAAGCUGAGGUAGGAGAAUUGCUCGAACCUGGGAGGCAGAGGUUGCAGUGAGCUGAGAUCGUGCCACUGCACUCCAGCCUGGGCAACAGAGCAAGACUCUGUCUCAA